RNAcentral lists this long non-coding RNA (246 nucleotides) under Lathyrus oleraceus (garden pea). RNAcentral describes it as "Pisum sativum (pea) long non-coding RNA (PSAT_LNC009458)". The record is from RNAcentral. Lineage: Eukaryota; Viridiplantae; Streptophyta; Magnoliopsida; Fabales; Fabaceae.
GGAGGUAUGGCAAAAAUAAGAUCGUUUCUAGAAUUGGUAGUAAACAAAGAAAAAACAAUCGAAGAAUUACUUCAAAAAUCCAGUUGCUCACCUAGAUUCAACACGAAGGAAGAAGACAUCCCAAUUUUGACCCUGAAUCUCGAUCCAAUACAUUCAUCAUAGUUGUUGCACCUCUACAUAGCAUAACAUGCAUUCCAUACCAUAUAAUACCUAGAAUUUUAGUCGAAAUAAAUUUUUCGGAUCUAC